CCAAUAUUCACAUUCGUAUUAUGUUAAAAUAAUGUUACUCUUUUGCCAGCCUAUAAUAGCAUCAGUAAUCAAAUAUACAUAUUUGAUUGUUCUAACAUGAAUAUGAGUGGUCUACAUUACUUAUAUGUAUACACAAGCAUACGACUCUUGACCGUCAGCGGAGUGACCGUGGGUGAAGGACAGCUACUGAGAUGUCGUAGUACCUACCAAGAAGGCGAGCAUACGUGGACAACUCAAUCUAGGUCCCAACUGCCUCUAAAUCUAAAAACAUGAAGUUUAAAAACGUGAGUAUGAAACUCAAUGAGUGAACAAGAAAGGAACAAGCAUACCAUAAGAAAUGUUUAACGAAAUCAUGAUGCAUUCAUUUUUCAAAACAAUGCAAUUUAUUUUCUAGUUCUUAUUAAACCCCUCAUGUAAACCCCACAUGAGUAAAUCACUUUAUGAAAAGGGUCCAUGCUCAACAAAGGAUUUGGAGAGUGAAAACUUUAAUAGCAUUCAUGCGAAUCAAGUCAAAUAAACGACGGGUUCUCGCUGCAGCGAAUGAAUUUUUGCUACAGUGACACUUAACUUAAAUUAUCAACUGGCCAAGGGUUUCUCACCAAACCUCUUCAUUUUAAACUUAAUUCAUUUAUUCCUUAAUGUUGGAAGUCCAUGCUCAACUGUUGUACUAAAGAAAUGGAAGAUAGGGUAGCAACCGAACCAAAUGAGGAGCAAAACAGAAAGAUUUUCGCUGCAGCGAGAUUGAUUCUCGCUGCAACGAGAAGCUACAGUAACAUUCUCGUUGCAGCGAGAUUUCAGCCAACACCAACCCUUCAAACCAAAGAGUUUCUCGCUGCAGCAAGAAACAGGGCACCAGAAAAAAUUCCCCAUUCCCUCAAGCAAAGGCCACCCUGUUCACAUGACCAACACAACAUGAAACUCAUAUAAUUUCCAAAAGUUUAACAUGUCAAUUUCACAUGCAUUUCAACCAUAUACAUGAAAUUUCUAUAACUCACACUUUUACAUAUACAUACAUCGUCAUCAUGUGUGCACACCCUACUCGCACACUUUGUCAUCAUCACGUGUGCACUCCUUACUCGCACACUCCAUCAUCAUCAUGUGUGCACUUCCAUCUCGCACUCUAUCAUCAUCAUGUGUGCACUCCCUACUCGCACACUCUAUCAUCAUCAUGUGUGCACUCCUUACUCGCACACUUGAACAUCACCACCCAACAUCAUUCAUCAAUACACAGCACAUAUUCAUAAGAUAUAUACAUACAUACCAACAUAAUAUAAAGUACUUGAAUUCAUCCUUAUUCACAUCUCACAUUUCACAAUAUCAAAAACAUUUAAUCAAGACUUGUUCCCUAGCACACAUUUUUUAAGAAAGAUUGGAAAAAACCAUUCAAAUAUCUUGUGCAAUUACAUUCACAUUCCCAAAACAAGUUUGAAAAGCAAGUCCACUCACCUGAAUUUAUUGAGCGUUUAACCGACUCUAACUUUCCUAAUGGUCCAAUUAGGGCUGUGGGACUUCAUUAGAACCUAUCAUCACAUUAGUAUCACCAAUAUGUCAAUUCACAUACUUAUAAAGUCUAAAGCUAUCUCUUAGCUAGCUUCCAAUUGCCAUUUAAAUGGCUAUUUAUUUUCACUACUCUAAUCACUCUAAAAUGAGUGGAUAACCUCAACUACAACAUUCACAAGUCUACUUACUAAUCAUUCCCAACACAAAAAAAUAAAUUCUAAUUCAUUACUCACCUUGGUAGCUUGUAACUUUAAAAUUCUUUCUAAUAAAUUUUCCAAGCUAUUAUGGGAGCUUUCUCUCUCUUUCUCUCUCUAAACACCUAACUAGUGAGAGAAAGUAUGAAAGUGAGAAUUUUCAAGGGUUUUGAAGUGAAAGAGCACAAGGGUUCCAUGAAAAGGUACACAAAGGCAUGAAAAUUGAAGUUAGAGAGAGAAAGUUAUGAAGUUUUCAUACCAUGCUUCCAUGGAGGGGGGGGGGAAACAAACUUGAGAUGGAAGGAGGAAGAAGAAG
Molecule: long non-coding RNA, 2010 nt
Filed under: Theobroma cacao (cacao)
Lineage: Eukaryota; Viridiplantae; Streptophyta; Magnoliopsida; Malvales; Malvaceae
Description: long non-coding RNA (TCAC_LNC003410)
Source: RNAcentral